CGCCUUUUUGCUAGCAAGAAAUUUAAUGUUCAUACGAACGGUGAGCUGCACUUUGCCUCCACCGUCUUGUUGUGACAAUGUGAAUGGAAAUUCCAUUCUCGUCGACAUGUAACAUCUUUAUUUUAAAACGUGAGACAGGUUAGCAUGUCCCGCGACACCUACUCUGAUGGAAAUUGGUGCAGGUGUGGGACUUCAAUUUGUUUGAAUCCAGUGUCACAAAUGUCAAAGUUUCAGCCUCUCGAUCUUUUAAAUGGAAAUGACUUGGGGACUGAUGGUUUUGUUUUUUCUGACGACGCAUUUUCAAAAUUGUGCUUUGCCAAUUAGGGGAGAUGGAACUUGUUCGUGGAAAAAAUUGUAUUAUUGAGUAAUUUUUUUUGGAGUAGGUAGCAUCCCGGAUCGUGUUUUAAUGGUGCGGUUGGAAAUAUUGAUUGAAGAAAAAUAAAGGGAUUAUUCUUUUGAAUCCGGCGGCUUGUCUCCGAGCCGACACAUGACAAGGAAUCCCUUUCACUGUAAUUUACUUUGUGACACCUUGAGGUCGAGGUAUCGGAGAAUCUUUCGUAAUAUGUUCGGUGAACACCGGCGAAUAUAAAUUUAAAUUUAAUGUUUUGUUCUCGGCAGACGGCAAAAAUUGAUAUAGAAUCGAAUUUUUUCACCGUCUUUUCCUACUAAAUUGUAAUUUACAAUCAAAGUUCUUCCUCUCGCGAGACCGAAGACUUGACGGCGUUUCAGAUUUAUAAUAUUGCGCGGAAUCGGGUCGACAAGGGGCCCGCGUUAAAUUGUGUUGUGUAAAUUAUCAGUUGCUAGUGGAAAUUUACAUUUGAAAGGAAAAACUGCCAUUAAAAACCUGAUAAUUUACCAGAAAUUAUAUUAGAGUUAUAUAAGAAUGGCGAAGUUCGUACGAGACUUCGUCACGCCACGCCGCCAUUAUCACUUAUCUAAGUUUCAAACUCUCUGGCGUGAUGGAAAAAAUCAAAAUGAUGAUGGGCGGUCUGAUUUACCAAGCCCUGUGUAAAUUUCCAUUUGUGACUUUCAGUUCUGGCGGUGUGUGAAACUCUUCUUCUUUUUCUUCCACAAUCAUCUUAUGAUUUUUUAAUUUUCUGCGUCGAGUGCCGAAUACAAAUUAAUCGCAUAGAUGUCUUUCGCAGCCCUUUCGAUAAAAAGCCGCCGAAAGGGUCAGAAAGUUGGCGAUCUGAAAAAAACGUAAUCCUGCAAGAGUAACACAAACUGUCAUUAAUCACGAGCUUAUCUGGUGUUAGUGACGUCACUCAGGUCCAAAUUCGAACGCACAGCUUUGUUCUCGACGCCGUCGACGUCCGACGCCGCGUCGAGGUGACACUUCCAAGCUAAUAGCGUAAUUGGCUGGCAAAAACCGACGUUCGAACUCCGUUUAUUCGGAAAAUCCUCUCGGUAAUUUCGUUCCGACCGCUUCUUUUCCGGUGGGUUUUUUUAUCCCGGAUUUAGCCUCCGGUCGUUGUCCAAACCGAAAUGAUUCAUGCAAUUUGACAUUUAGACCGUGAUUAACAACCGUUCCGUAUUAAUUUACAACUGCGAUGGGGCUUAAUGGCCGCGUUAAUCAUAUCCGCGUGAUGUUGUUCUUCGGGGCGGCGUGUCGAGGAAAUUGCAUUCGAUGUUACGUGGUCGAGAUAUGAAGGUUCAUAGGAAAUUAAUAGUUUUAUAUAACACCAGAGGUUUUGCAUUGUAAGGGGUUUAUUAAACUUGACGGCUGGCUGCGGGUAACUGGCACCGGUAUCACAUGCUUCGAGGUGGCACAAAUUACCAGCAAUAUGUUUAACUCAAUUGAUGAAAAUAACGCAAAGGCAGUUUUGUGGGAAAAUGGAUUUGUAGAGUCUAUCUUCUUAGAAAAGCUUUCACCGAAAGCCAUUUAUUUUUCUUCAAUAUUCAGAAAAAAUCAAGAAUAGAUCCCAGAUUAACCUGUAAGACAUCAAUAUUGGAACUUGGCUCUUUAUUGCUCCAGCUUCAAUAAAUUUUUAUAGCACUUUUACGAUUUUCAUAUGAGAUGGCUUCGUAUAAAAAUGAAUUAAAGUUAUUGCCUACCGAGAAUAUAGUCCUGUUAAAUUGCCGAACGAAAUACUUUUUCUAUCCCUUUAAUAAAUUACCAAAAA
Molecule: long non-coding RNA, 2123 nt
Organism: Tribolium castaneum (red flour beetle)
Lineage: Eukaryota; Metazoa; Arthropoda; Insecta; Coleoptera; Tenebrionidae
Exons: 3
Source: RefSeq, a predicted model, not a curated record